UUGGAGGGCAAGUCUGGUGCCAGCAGCCGCGGUAAUUCCAGCUCCAAUAGCGUAUAUUAAAGUUGUUGCAGUUAAAAGGCUCGUAGUUGAAUUUCGGGAUCAAAUAAUCGGUCGUGCCUCCGGUACGUACUGGUUUUAUUGGUUCCUCCCUUCUGACGAACCAUGAUGUCAUUAAUUUGAUGUGGUGGAGAAUCAGGACUGUUACCUUGAAAAAAUUAGAGUGUUUAAAGCAGGCUAACGCUUGAAUACAUUAGCAUGGAAUAAUGAAAUAGGACGUUCGACCCUAUUUUGUUGGUUUCUAGGAUCGACGUAAUGAUUAAUAGGGAUAGUUGGGGGCAUUAGUAUUCAAUUGUCAGAGGUGAAAUUCUUGGAUUUAUUGAAGACUAACUACUGCGAAAGCAUUUGCCAAGGAUGUUUUCAUUAAUCAAGAACGAAAGUUAGGGGAUCGAAGACGAUCAGAUACCGUCGUAGUCUUAACCAUAAACUAUGCCGACUAGGGAUCGGAUGAUGUUAAUUUUUUAAUGACUCAUUCGGCGCCUUACGGGAAAC
RNAcentral lists this ribosomal RNA (549 nucleotides) under uncultured Glomus. Its description in RNAcentral is "SSU rRNA". It matches the Rfam family "Eukaryotic small subunit ribosomal RNA", at positions 548 to 1098 of the family's 1831-position model. The record is from RNAcentral. Lineage: Eukaryota; Fungi; Glomeromycota; Glomeromycetes; Glomerales; Glomeraceae.